Molecule: ribosomal RNA, 608 nt
Filed under: Pterocomma salicis
Lineage: Eukaryota; Metazoa; Arthropoda; Insecta; Hemiptera; Aphididae
Description: bacterial SSU rRNA
Rfam family: Eukaryotic small subunit ribosomal RNA
Source: RNAcentral
AUUUGACUCAACACGGGAAACCUCACCAGGCCCGGACACCGGAAAGAUUGACAGAUUGAGAGCUCUUUCUUGAUUCGGUGGGUGGUGGUGCAUGGCCGUUCUUAGUUGGUGGAGCGAUCUGUCUGGUUAAUUCCGAUAACGAACGAGACUCUGUCCUGCUAACGUCGGCGCGCGCGGCUCCGUCGGGGCUGCCGUCGCCGCCGGGAGCUAAACUCUUCUUAGAGGGACAGGCGGCGAGCCGCACGAGACUGAGCGAUAACAGGUCUGUGAUGCCCUUAGAUGUUCUGGGCCGCACGCGCGCUACACUGAAGGAAUCAGCGUGUUUUCUGGGCCGACAGGUCCGGGUAACCCGCUGAACCUCCUUCGUGUUAGGGAUCGUGGCUUGCAAUUUUUCCACGUGAACGAGGAAUUCCCAGUAAGCGCGAGUCAUCAGCUCGCGUUGAUUACGUCCCUGCCCUUUGUACACACCGACCGUCGCUACUACCGAUUGAACGACCCAGUGAGGUCUUCGGACUGGGCGCGUUAGCUCCCCGGGGACUGGGUCGUCGCCGGAAAGAUGACCGAACUCGGCCGUUUAGAGGAAGUAAAAGUCGUAACAAGGUUUCGUA